AUACGUAGGGGGCGAGCGUUGUCCGGAAUGACUGGGCGUAAAGGGCGCGUAGGCGGCUCGAUAAGUUGGAUGUGAAAUACCCGUGCUCAACAUGGGGGUUGCAUUUAAGACUGUCGAGCUGGAGUGCAGGAGAGGAAAGCGGAAUUCCCAGUGUAGCGGUGAAAUGCGUAGAGAUUGGGAGGAACACCAGUGGCGAAGGCGGCUUUCUGGACUGUAACUGACGCUGAGGCGCGAAAGCGUGGGGAGCAAACAGGAUUAGAUACCCUGGUAGUCCACGCUGUAAACGAUGGAUGCUAGGUGUAGGAGGUAUCGACCCCUUCUGUGCCGGAGCAAACGCAAUAAGCAUCCCGCCUGGGGAGUACGGCCGCAAGGUUGAA
This 377-nucleotide ribosomal RNA is filed under the name uncultured bacterium. Its description in RNAcentral is "bacterial SSU rRNA". It matches the Rfam family "Bacterial small subunit ribosomal RNA", at positions 523 to 898 of the family's 1533-position model. The record is from RNAcentral.